AACACAUGGCUAUGGUCUGGAGUGGUUCAGGUGGUUAUAUGGUCAAAGGAGGUAUGUUCAUGGGCAGCAUCAAUUAGGUCAGUGAUUUGUGGGUUAGAGAUUGAGGUUUUGUGGUCAGGGUUUUGAGUGGGUGAAGUGGUUAUGUGGCCAUGGGAUAUGUGGUCAGGAGCAGAAGCUACAGAGAUAAAAAAAAACAGUUAGAUUUAAG
This 208-nucleotide long non-coding RNA is filed under the name Brassica rapa (field mustard). Its description in RNAcentral is "long non-coding RNA (BRAP_LNC003728)". Lineage: Eukaryota; Viridiplantae; Streptophyta; Magnoliopsida; Brassicales; Brassicaceae. The record is from RNAcentral.